GGGAGCUGCCCUAAUUAUAUGCCAAAGUAAUGACCGUGGAAUACAGGGAGUUGGCCAAAGAAAAUGCUUUGAAUAGCCAGCCCACUUACAUAAUGAACAACUCCAACAGCCACCGAACUGAAUCCUGGUCAGAGUGAGCUCACGUAUGAAAAACCGCAGAUCACCAAGUCCAAGGCACAGCCUGGGCCCAGGAGGAGGAGACCAGAGGCCUCAUGAGAUCACCAGACACUGCCUGAGUAAAUUUGUUUGCAUUUAAUAAAAACCUAAAAAGGGAUGAGACCGACAGAGGUCCAAGAGAGAGCCUGUGCAAGCACACAAGCAGGGGGAGCAUGAGGCAGAGGGAGAAGCAGGCUCCCCACUGAGCAAGGAACCCAAUGCGGACUCAACCUGGGAUCAGGACCUGAGCCAAAGGCGGACACUUCACUGACUGAGGCACCCAGAUGUCCUGAGAAGACUGCUUUAUGCAGCUACACAGGCAAAUGUAUUUUGCAAGAAAGACACUCAUCUACCACCUGAAGAUCAGGCUACCACAGAUGGCGGCCACAUCAAACAAACUACGACAAUUACAGGUUCCCUGACACGAGAUUGAGAAACGCCGCCAGAAGCCGGCCACUGCAGAUCCUGUUCCCAUUAAUGGCACCAAGGGAUGCACGCUGGUUACGCGAAGCUUCGCCACCUUCAACUCUGCCGGCCCUGAGGACUUACAGCUGGGUCAGCUUUACGAUUCAGUUCUUGUGGCUUUUCUAAAGGUACUCUCGGUUACUUGUGCCAUUAUUUAAAACCACGGAAAACAUCUCAGCUGGAACAUCUCUGAAUAGAAUGUGUUGAGUUUUUGAUGAAAUAAUAAUUAUUAGAGCAAAAUGUAUAGAGUCUCCUAUCACUGCCUCCACCAAUUCUUACUUUGAAUUUCCAAGCUACAAAAAAGUUAUGAGAAUACAAAGUAGAAAGAAAACCUGAGCCCUCACACACUGCUGGGGGAAUGUACAAGAGUGCAGGUACUUUGGAAAACAGCUUGGGGGGCCUUCAAAAAGAUAAAGACAGUAGGGCGCCUGGGUGGCUCAGUCAGUUAAGUGUCUGACUCUUGAUUUCCGCCCAGGUCAUGAUCUGAGGGUCAUGAGACAGAGCCUUCUGUUGGGCUCCGUGCUGGGCGUGGAGAUACUCUCCAC
This is a long non-coding RNA of Lutra lutra (Eurasian river otter), 1166 nucleotides long. RefSeq lists it as uncharacterized. The transcript has 4 exons. The record is from RefSeq and is a predicted model, not a curated record. Lineage: Eukaryota; Metazoa; Chordata; Mammalia; Carnivora; Mustelidae.